This 674-nucleotide ribosomal RNA is filed under the name uncultured Bacilli bacterium. Its description in RNAcentral is "bacterial SSU rRNA". It matches the Rfam family "Bacterial small subunit ribosomal RNA", at positions 50 to 705 of the family's 1533-position model. The record is from RNAcentral. Lineage: Bacteria; Bacillati; Bacillota; Bacilli.
AAUACAUGCAAGUCGACGGACCGACGGGAGCUUGCUCCCUUAGGUCAGCGGCGGACGGGUGAGUAACACGUGGGUAACCUGCCUGUAAGACUGGGAUAACUCCCGGGAAACCGGGGCUAAUACCGGAUGCUUGAUUGAACCGCAUGGUUCCAAUCAUAAAAGGUGGCUUUUAGCUACCACUUACAGAUGGACCCGCGGCGCAUUAGCUAGUUGGUGAGGUAACGGCUCACCAAGGCGACGAUGCGUAGCCGACCUGAGAGGGUGAUCGGCCACACUGGGACUGAGACACGGCCCAGACUCCUACGGGAGGCAGCAGUAGGGAAUCUUCCGCAAUGGACGAAAGUCUGACGGAGCAACGCCGCGUGAGUGAUGAAGGUUUUCGGAUCGUAAAACUCUGUUGUUAGGGAAGAACAAGUACCGUUCGAAUAGGGCGGCACCUUGACGGUACCUAACCAGAAAGCCACGGCUAACUACGUGCCAGCAGCCGCGGUAAUACGUAGGUGGCAAGCGUUGUCCGGAAUUAUUGGGCGUAAAGCGCGCGCAGGCGGUUUCUUAAGUCUGAUGUGAAGCCCCCGGCUCAACCGGGGAGGGUCAUUGGAAACUGGGGAACUUGAGUGCAGAAGAGGAGAGUGGAAUUCCACGUGUAGCGGUGAAAUGCGUAGAGAUGUGGAGGA